Molecule: ribosomal RNA, 227 nt
Filed under: uncultured bacterium
Lineage: Bacteria
Description: partial 16S ribosomal RNA
Rfam family: Bacterial small subunit ribosomal RNA
Source: RNAcentral
CGAGUAACACGUAUCCAACCUGCCGUCUACUCUUGGACAGCCUUCUGAAAGGAAGAUUAAUACAAGAUGGCAUCAUGAGUCCGCAUGUUCACAUGAUUAAAGGUAUUCCGGUAGACGAUGGGGAUGCGUCCCAUUAGAUAGUAGGCGGGGUAACGGCCCACCUAGUCUUCGAUGGAUAGGGGUUCUGAGAGGAAGGUCCCCCACAUUGGAACUGAGACACGGUCCAA